CGAGCGAUGAAAUCCCUUCGGGGAUGGAUUAGCGGCGGACGGGUGAGUAACACGUGGGUAACCUGCCUCAAAGAGGGGGAUAGCCUCCCGAAAGGGAGAUUAAUACCGCAUAACAUUAGUUUUUCGCAUGAAAAACUAAUUAAAGGAGCAAUCCACUUUGAGAUGGACCCGCGGCGCAUUAGCUAGUUGGUGAGGUAAUGGCCCACCAAGGCAAUGAUCGGUAGCCGGCCUGAGAGGGCACACGGCCACACUGGCACUGAGACACGGGCCAGACUCCUACGGGAGGCAGCAGUGGGGAAUCUUGCACAAUGGGGGAAACCCUGAUGCAGCGACGCCGCGUGAGCGAUGAAGCCCUUCGGGGUGUAAAGCUCUUUCGGCAGGAACGAUGAUGACGGUACCUGCAGAAGAAGCUGCGGCUAACUACGUGCCAGCAGCCGCGGUAAUACGUAGGCAGCAAGCGUUGUUCGGAGUUACUGGGCGUAAAGAGUGCGUAGGCGGUCCUUUAAGUUCGGUGUGAAAUCUCCCGGCUCAACUGGGAGGGUGCGCCGGAAACUGGGGGGCUCGAGUAUGGGAGAGGAAAGCGGAAUUCCUGGUGUAGCGGUGAAAUGCGUAGAUAUCAG
This 620-nucleotide ribosomal RNA is filed under the name uncultured bacterium. Its description in RNAcentral is "bacterial SSU rRNA". It matches the Rfam family "Bacterial small subunit ribosomal RNA", at positions 63 to 700 of the family's 1533-position model. The record is from RNAcentral.